This 254-nucleotide ribosomal RNA is filed under the name uncultured bacterium. Its description in RNAcentral is "partial 16S ribosomal RNA". It matches the Rfam family "Bacterial small subunit ribosomal RNA", at positions 524 to 776 of the family's 1533-position model. The record is from RNAcentral.
UACGUAGGGGGCAAGCGUUGUCCGGAUUUAUUGGGCGUAAAGAGCGUGUAGGCGGUUUGGUAGGUCCGCUGUGAAAACUCGAGGCUCAACCUCGAGACGCCGGUGGAAACCAUCAGACUAGAGUCCGGAAGAGGAGAGUGGAAUUCCGUGGUGUAGCGGUGAAAUGCGCAGAUAUCAGGAAGAACACCCGUGGCUAAGGCGGCUCUCUAGUACGGUACUGACGCUGAGACGCGAAAGCGUGGGGAGCGAACAGG